This is an RNA transcript of Ostrea edulis (European flat oyster), 19263 nucleotides long. RefSeq lists it as uncharacterized. The record is from RefSeq and is a predicted model, not a curated record. The transcript is spliced from 6 exons. NCBI's taxonomy places the organism in Eukaryota, Metazoa, Mollusca, Bivalvia, Ostreida, Ostreidae.
GUUUAGACAUAAGUAUAGUAGGAAAAUAUAAGAAUUUCUUGAUAUUAAAUUUAUGAGACAGUAACACAGGAAUACAACGAUAUCCAGCCACAACCGUGCGCAGCUUUUUGUGCGCCGUAAAUCGAAGGUUUUUAUAAGAGGUGGAUCUGUAGCUCCCUGUUCCGUUAUAAUAUUUUUUCAGACAGCUACAGUUCUGCAGCUAGUGCGUGCCAAUGGAAUGGAACCUAUACCGGCCAAAGUUUGAAGUUUAUUGCGUAUUUCAGAACCUAUAAAAGUAUUCAGAAUAAGGGCAGAACUUUGUAAUUUUAACACUGAUAGAAUAUAACGUCCUCUCAUGAUCCAAUUUGAAUAUCUUAUGAUAUCCUACCCCGAGGACCAGCGCAGUGGACAUAUGUGCACAUAUUAUUCAUUUGUUUAAUGUGAAGAUUGGUUUUCUAGUCAUUACUCAUCUUUACGCUAAGACUGUGGAAAAGAUACGUCAUAAACAGGGUCGAUCUCGCACAACACAUUUUCUGAUGGGCUGUUUCCCCAUAAUGUCCGCGGAAACGAGUUAUUUGGUUAAGUAAGUAAACAAGAAAUAUGAUUUCAAGUCGGAAUGUAAGAUUAAAUUCUUGUGUAGCAUAACAUGUGAAGACCAGGGAAACAGCAGUGACGGACGUAGAGGGGAAGUACCAACUUGCGUCACACACCCUGAUUUUUUUUUAUCCACCUCUAACAGUAUAAGAGCCUAUGAAAAUUAAUAAUUUAUUUCUAAAUUUGGGUGAAUCAUCGCGGUUUUCGUUUAAAUCACGUGACAGGACGGGAGCUCUCUCAAUAUAUAUUUAUAUAGUGUAGCAGGCCCCGCACAUUAAAUUCACUCAUCAUCAUCAGGAAGAGACGGGUGUAUAGACGCCAUGUUGGAUAUUUACAGUAAACUACUCAUGUGACCCCUGACCCCAGAGAUGGACCCGCGUGCUCAGGACGUCCUAGUGUGUGAUUUCUGUAACAUUGAUCCCAUUCAGAGCCACUGUAAACUCUGUUAUAUAAAUCUUUGUGCUGACUGUGUCAGUAAACAUCUCUCAGAUUCCUCUAAAAAACACAAUGUCGUACUCUAUUCAGACAGAAAUUUUACUCCUAAAUACUCAAAAUGUCUGAAACACGCCGACAAAGACUGCGAACUUUAUUGUGAGAAAUGUGGCAUUCCUGUUUGUUCUACCUGCAUCUCCUCCGGUAAACAUAGAGGCCACAAAAUAUUGGAUGUUCUGGAAAAACUCGGCUCUAUAAAACAACAUUUACAAACAGAACUAGUGAUCCUAAUUGUUCGCGAACAAUUAGAGGGCUUCCCACCUUCUAGCGGUUUUUCAGUAGUGUUGAAAUGCUAAAAGCCCCCCCCCCCCCCCCUACCCCAUCCCACCCUCACCCAAACAAAAAAAAAAAAAAAAAAAAAAAAAAAAAAAUUGAUUUGGCUAGAAAAGAAAUUCAAAUUUGCCGCCUAAAUUUGAGUGUUGAGGUGUGUUCAAUGCUUGGUUUCGCAUUAAGUACCCGUCAAAUUUGAGGGAGAAAAGGGGUGUGGGUGUUGGGUAGCCAGCACAUAUGCACAUAUCAGGUAAAAGUGUAAUGGGACUUGUGCAGGUGUUUGGGGUGACUUUAGACCUGUUAGAUGUGAUAUUUGGAGGUGCAAAGAAACCGGAUGUGCCAUUUUCCUAGAUUGUAGUAACUGCUGGUGCAUGCUGGGAGUCUAUACAAACCUCAUGUUGUCAGAUGUUGUGAAGAUGCACUGGAUUUGACCGUGUGUGUUGUGGAUUGUGGAAUUGAAUAUACAGUUUGUAAUGGCUCAUCCUAUGUGUUCUAAUUCACGGAGACAAUGUCUUUCAGUCAUUUCACCCAAGGAGGCAUGCAUAUACGGAUUGAUAGGCUUUGACAACAAACAACCAAAAUGGCGGCCGGUGAAUUAGAAAGUGUCUGAGUGCAUGUAGGAUAUCUGAACGGAGAAUAGGAGUACUGCAUCCCAUCUGAUCCUGCAGGUAAGUGUUUAUUUGUUUACAAUGACAGUCGGGAUGGAAUGUCAAUGAGUUCAACUGUCAAGUAAAGUUGCAUCAUCAUUAUAAAAAAAAAAACAACUUAGUCUUUAUGUUGAUGCAGGCAGACAAUUGAAUCUGGCCUAUGUCUUUUCAUGAAUGUAAAUGGAAUUCAUGUUUGAUUGACAAGACAGUCAAGAAAUGGAAGAAGUGGGUGUAGGUCAGAUGUGUAGGUGUAGGUCAGAUUAGCUAGAAUCCUGUAAUUGUUGCAUGGCAUGAGACCGGUCAAAAUAGUGUAUUGAAACAGCUGAUCACAAUCAGAUCACUUGAAGGGUGGGGGAUUUCUUCCUUGGGGACGACAGGCGUGAUGGGUGGGUUGGCCUUACUCGUGGAGACUGGCCCCUGGAUGCGUGACCUUGACCUUUGACCUUGACCCACUUUCAAGGUCAAACCUCAAAAACACAUGGGGGAGAAAGUGUGACCUUGACCUUUGACCUUGACCUCAUUUUGAAGGUCAGAGAGGUCACGGGGCUUCGUUUAAGUGGUCCCGCAUCCCUAUCUACAUCCGUGAAGAAGUUGUGGGCUCGAACGACGACGUCGGAGACUUUCGGGGGCGAGAACCGUGCUUCGGGGUUCUCGGUUUCCCUCGGUCAACUUUUCUGUGCGAGAGCGUUUCAUCUGGAAUUCGUCGGCGAAGGUCUCGCCUCUCCACGACUUGCGGUCUAGUGAGAGUAGCGAUAACGGGGUUUUCGACGUUAAGUCGCCGCCAUUCGCAGAGUGGUCAAAGUUCAGAGUUGACAUUCGUGAUGCCGAGACCGGUCCAAAAUUCCUUGCUGACCCAUGUGAUAUUUCGAUGCUAUCUGAAGCGUGAAAGAGCGUAUAAAAAGUGCCAUUUUCUGGCCAUUCUGGAUGACCUUGACCUUUGACCUUGACCUACUUUUUCAAGGUCAAGGUCACCCAACCCGUCCCAGUGGGUUCCGUCUCUCUACGACGAAGACUUUAGGAGUCGUCAAUUUGUAGGGGACAAAUCGCAAAACAUGAGGGGGCAUUAACUCCCUUUAGGGGACACCGAAUCCCUUCAUUUGAAAUUCUUCGCUUCUACUAAUUACCCUCUAUGUUUUAGAAAAGGUUUCAUCCUCCUAUCAUUUACGGUUACAAAGUAGAAGUGCUAACAAUGAUUUCUGCGAAAGGUCAAAUAACUCCGUAAGGGGUCAAAGUUCAAUUACGCAGGGUGAACUGUAUUCGUUUCUCAAGAAGUACUAUAUGAUGGACUAUAAAGUUUUUCGAUAAGUCUUAAGACAAAGAUUUUUUUUGACGGCAGGAAAAUAAUAAUAAUAAUAAUAACUAGUGAUCCUAAUUGUUCGCGAACAAUUAGAGGGCUUCCCACCUUCUAGCGGUUUUUCAGUAGUGUUGAAAUGCUAAAAGCCCCCCCCCCCCCCCUACCCCAUCCCACCCUCACCCAAACAAAAAAAAAAAAAAAAAAAAAAAAAAAAAAAUUGAUUUGGCUAGAAAAGAAAUUCAAAUUUGCCGCCUAAAUUUGAGUGUUGAGGUGUGUUCAAUGCUUGGUUUCGCAUUAAGUACCCGUCAAAUUUGAGGGAGAAAAGGGGUGUGGGUGUUGGGUAGCCAGCACAUAUGCACAUAUCAGGUAAAAGUGUAAUGGGACUUGUGCAGGUGUUUGGGGUGACUUUAGACCUGUUAGAUGUGAUAUUUGGAGGUGCAAAGAAACCGGAUGUGCCAUUUUCCUAGAUUGUAGUAACUGCUGGUGCAUGCUGGGAGUCUAUACAAACCUCAUGUUGUCAGAUGUUGUGAAGAUGCACUGGAUUUGACCGUGUGUGUUGUGGAUUGUGGAAUUGAAUAUACAGUUUGUAAUGGCUCAUCCUAUGUGUUCUAAUUCACGGAGACAAUGUCUUUCAGUCAUUUCACCCAAGGAGGCAUGCAUAUACGGAUUGAUAGGCUUUGACAACAAACAACCAAAAUGGCGGCCGGUGAAUUAGAAAGUGUCUGAGUGCAUGUAGGAUAUCUGAACGGAGAAUAGGAGUACUGCAUCCCAUCUGAUCCUGCAGGUAAGUGUUUAUUUGUUUACAAUGACAGUCGGGAUGGAAUGUCAAUGAGUUCAACUGUCAAGUAAAGUUGCAUCAUCAUUAUAAAAAAAAAAACAACUUAGUCUUUAUGUUGAUGCAGGCAGACAAUUGAAUCUGGCCUAUGUCUUUUCAUGAAUGUAAAUGGAAUUCAUGUUUGAUUGACAAGACAGUCAAGAAAUGGAAGAAGUGGGUGUAGGUCAGAUGUGUAGGUGUAGGUCAGAUUAGCUAGAAUCCUGUAAUUGUUGCAUGGCAUGAGACCGGUCAAAAUAGUGUAUUGAAACAGCUGAUCACAAUCAGAUCACUUGAAGGGUGGGGGAUUUCUUCCUUGGGGACGACAGGCGUGAUGGGUGGGUUGGCCUUACUCGUGGAGACUGGCCCCUGGAUGCGUGACCUUGACCUUUGACCUUGACCCACUUUCAAGGUCAAACCUCAAAAACACAUGGGGGAGAAAGUGUGACCUUGACCUUUGACCUUGACCUCAUUUUGAAGGUCAGAGAGGUCACGGGGCUUCGUUUAAGUGGUCCCGCAUCCCUAUCUACAUCCGUGAAGAAGUUGUGGGCUCGAACGACGACGUCGGAGACUUUCGGGGGCGAGAACCGUGCUUCGGGGUUCUCGGUUUCCCUCGGUCAACUUUUCUGUGCGAGAGCGUUUCAUCUGGAAUUCGUCGGCGAAGGUCUCGCCUCUCCACGACUUGCGGUCUAGUGAGAGUAGCGAUAACGGGGUUUUCGACGUUAAGUCGCCGCCAUUCGCAGAGUGGUCAAAGUUCAGAGUUGACAUUCGUGAUGCCGAGACCGGUCCAAAAUUCCUUGCUGACCCAUGUGAUAUUUCGAUGCUAUCUGAAGCGUGAAAGAGCGUAUAAAAAGUGCCAUUUUCUGGCCAUUCUGGAUGACCUUGACCUUUGACCUUGACCUACUUUUUCAAGGUCAAGGUCACCCAACCCGUCCCAGUGGGUUCCGUCUCUCUACGACGAAGACUUUAGGAGUCGUCAAUUUGUAGGGGACAAAUCGCAAAACAUGAGGGGGCAUUAACUCCCUUUAGGGGACACCGAAUCCCUUCAUUUGAAAUUCUUCGCUUCUACUAAUUACCCUCUAUGUUUUAGAAAAGGUUUCAUCCUCCUAUCAUUUACGGUUACAAAGUAGAAGUGCUAACAAUGAUUUCUGCGAAAGGUCAAAUAACUCCGUAAGGGGUCAAAGUUCAAUUACGCAGGGUGAACUGUAUUCGUUUCUCAAGAAGUACUAUAUGAUGGACUAUAAAGUUUUUCGAUAAGUCUUAAGACAAAGAUUUUUUUUGACGGCAGGAAAAUAAUAAUAAUAAUAAUAACUAGUGAUCCUAAUUGUUCGCGAACAAUUAGAGGGCUUCCCACCUUCUAGCGGUUUUUCAGUAGUGUUGAAAUGCUAAAAGCCCCCCCCCCCCCCCUACCCCAUCCCACCCUCACCCAAACAAAAAAAAAAAAAAAAAAAAAAAAAAAAAAAUUGAUUUGGCUAGAAAAGAAAUUCAAAUUUGCCGCCUAAAUUUGAGUGUUGAGGUGUGUUCAAUGCUUGGUUUCGCAUUAAGUACCCGUCAAAUUUGAGGGAGAAAAGGGGUGUGGGUGUUGGGUAGCCAGCACAUAUGCACAUAUCAGGUAAAAGUGUAAUGGGACUUGUGCAGGUGUUUGGGGUGACUUUAGACCUGUUAGAUGUGAUAUUUGGAGGUGCAAAGAAACCGGAUGUGCCAUUUUCCUAGAUUGUAGUAACUGCUGGUGCAUGCUGGGAGUCUAUACAAACCUCAUGUUGUCAGAUGUUGUGAAGAUGCACUGGAUUUGACCGUGUGUGUUGUGGAUUGUGGAAUUGAAUAUACAGUUUGUAAUGGCUCAUCCUAUGUGUUCUAAUUCACGGAGACAAUGUCUUUCAGUCAUUUCACCCAAGGAGGCAUGCAUAUACGGAUUGAUAGGCUUUGACAACAAACAACCAAAAUGGCGGCCGGUGAAUUAGAAAGUGUCUGAGUGCAUGUAGGAUAUCUGAACGGAGAAUAGGAGUACUGCAUCCCAUCUGAUCCUGCAGGUAAGUGUUUAUUUGUUUACAAUGACAGUCGGGAUGGAAUGUCAAUGAGUUCAACUGUCAAGUAAAGUUGCAUCAUCAUUAUAAAAAAAAAAACAACUUAGUCUUUAUGUUGAUGCAGGCAGACAAUUGAAUCUGGCCUAUGUCUUUUCAUGAAUGUAAAUGGAAUUCAUGUUUGAUUGACAAGACAGUCAAGAAAUGGAAGAAGUGGGUGUAGGUCAGAUGUGUAGGUGUAGGUCAGAUUAGCUAGAAUCCUGUAAUUGUUGCAUGGCAUGAGACCGGUCAAAAUAGUGUAUUGAAACAGCUGAUCACAAUCAGAUCACUUGAAGGGUGGGGGAUUUCUUCCUUGGGGACGACAGGCGUGAUGGGUGGGUUGGCCUUACUCGUGGAGACUGGCCCCUGGAUGCGUGACCUUGACCUUUGACCUUGACCCACUUUCAAGGUCAAACCUCAAAAACACAUGGGGGAGAAAGUGUGACCUUGACCUUUGACCUUGACCUCAUUUUGAAGGUCAGAGAGGUCACGGGGCUUCGUUUAAGUGGUCCCGCAUCCCUAUCUACAUCCGUGAAGAAGUUGUGGGCUCGAACGACGACGUCGGAGACUUUCGGGGGCGAGAACCGUGCUUCGGGGUUCUCGGUUUCCCUCGGUCAACUUUUCUGUGCGAGAGCGUUUCAUCUGGAAUUCGUCGGCGAAGGUCUCGCCUCUCCACGACUUGCGGUCUAGUGAGAGUAGCGAUAACGGGGUUUUCGACGUUAAGUCGCCGCCAUUCGCAGAGUGGUCAAAGUUCAGAGUUGACAUUCGUGAUGCCGAGACCGGUCCAAAAUUCCUUGCUGACCCAUGUGAUAUUUCGAUGCUAUCUGAAGCGUGAAAGAGCGUAUAAAAAGUGCCAUUUUCUGGCCAUUCUGGAUGACCUUGACCUUUGACCUUGACCUACUUUUUCAAGGUCAAGGUCACCCAACCCGUCCCAGUGGGUUCCGUCUCUCUACGACGAAGACUUUAGGAGUCGUCAAUUUGUAGGGGACAAAUCGCAAAACAUGAGGGGGCAUUAACUCCCUUUAGGGGACACCGAAUCCCUUCAUUUGAAAUUCUUCGCUUCUACUAAUUACCCUCUAUGUUUUAGAAAAGGUUUCAUCCUCCUAUCAUUUACGGUUACAAAGUAGAAGUGCUAACAAUGAUUUCUGCGAAAGGUCAAAUAACUCCGUAAGGGGUCAAAGUUCAAUUACGCAGGGUGAACUGUAUUCGUUUCUCAAGAAGUACUAUAUGAUGGACUAUAAAGUUUUUCGAUAAGUCUUAAGACAAAGAUUUUUUUUGACGGCAGGAAAAUAAUAAUAAUAAUAAUAACUAGUGAUCCUAAUUGUUCGCGAACAAUUAGAGGGCUUCCCACCUUCUAGCGGUUUUUCAGUAGUGUUGAAAUGCUAAAAGCCCCCCCCCCCCCCCUACCCCAUCCCACCCUCACCCAAACAAAAAAAAAAAAAAAAAAAAAAAAAAAAAAAUUGAUUUGGCUAGAAAAGAAAUUCAAAUUUGCCGCCUAAAUUUGAGUGUUGAGGUGUGUUCAAUGCUUGGUUUCGCAUUAAGUACCCGUCAAAUUUGAGGGAGAAAAGGGGUGUGGGUGUUGGGUAGCCAGCACAUAUGCACAUAUCAGGUAAAAGUGUAAUGGGACUUGUGCAGGUGUUUGGGGUGACUUUAGACCUGUUAGAUGUGAUAUUUGGAGGUGCAAAGAAACCGGAUGUGCCAUUUUCCUAGAUUGUAGUAACUGCUGGUGCAUGCUGGGAGUCUAUACAAACCUCAUGUUGUCAGAUGUUGUGAAGAUGCACUGGAUUUGACCGUGUGUGUUGUGGAUUGUGGAAUUGAAUAUACAGUUUGUAAUGGCUCAUCCUAUGUGUUCUAAUUCACGGAGACAAUGUCUUUCAGUCAUUUCACCCAAGGAGGCAUGCAUAUACGGAUUGAUAGGCUUUGACAACAAACAACCAAAAUGGCGGCCGGUGAAUUAGAAAGUGUCUGAGUGCAUGUAGGAUAUCUGAACGGAGAAUAGGAGUACUGCAUCCCAUCUGAUCCUGCAGGUAAGUGUUUAUUUGUUUACAAUGACAGUCGGGAUGGAAUGUCAAUGAGUUCAACUGUCAAGUAAAGUUGCAUCAUCAUUAUAAAAAAAAAAACAACUUAGUCUUUAUGUUGAUGCAGGCAGACAAUUGAAUCUGGCCUAUGUCUUUUCAUGAAUGUAAAUGGAAUUCAUGUUUGAUUGACAAGACAGUCAAGAAAUGGAAGAAGUGGGUGUAGGUCAGAUGUGUAGGUGUAGGUCAGAUUAGCUAGAAUCCUGUAAUUGUUGCAUGGCAUGAGACCGGUCAAAAUAGUGUAUUGAAACAGCUGAUCACAAUCAGAUCACUUGAAGGGUGGGGGAUUUCUUCCUUGGGGACGACAGGCGUGAUGGGUGGGUUGGCCUUACUCGUGGAGACUGGCCCCUGGAUGCGUGACCUUGACCUUUGACCUUGACCCACUUUCAAGGUCAAACCUCAAAAACACAUGGGGGAGAAAGUGUGACCUUGACCUUUGACCUUGACCUCAUUUUGAAGGUCAGAGAGGUCACGGGGCUUCGUUUAAGUGGUCCCGCAUCCCUAUCUACAUCCGUGAAGAAGUUGUGGGCUCGAACGACGACGUCGGAGACUUUCGGGGGCGAGAACCGUGCUUCGGGGUUCUCGGUUUCCCUCGGUCAACUUUUCUGUGCGAGAGCGUUUCAUCUGGAAUUCGUCGGCGAAGGUCUCGCCUCUCCACGACUUGCGGUCUAGUGAGAGUAGCGAUAACGGGGUUUUCGACGUUAAGUCGCCGCCAUUCGCAGAGUGGUCAAAGUUCAGAGUUGACAUUCGUGAUGCCGAGACCGGUCCAAAAUUCCUUGCUGACCCAUGUGAUAUUUCGAUGCUAUCUGAAGCGUGAAAGAGCGUAUAAAAAGUGCCAUUUUCUGGCCAUUCUGGAUGACCUUGACCUUUGACCUUGACCUACUUUUUCAAGGUCAAGGUCACCCAACCCGUCCCAGUGGGUUCCGUCUCUCUACGACGAAGACUUUAGGAGUCGUCAAUUUGUAGGGGACAAAUCGCAAAACAUGAGGGGGCAUUAACUCCCUUUAGGGGACACCGAAUCCCUUCAUUUGAAAUUCUUCGCUUCUACUAAUUACCCUCUAUGUUUUAGAAAAGGUUUCAUCCUCCUAUCAUUUACGGUUACAAAGUAGAAGUGCUAACAAUGAUUUCUGCGAAAGGUCAAAUAACUCCGUAAGGGGUCAAAGUUCAAUUACGCAGGGUGAACUGUAUUCGUUUCUCAAGAAGUACUAUAUGAUGGACUAUAAAGUUUUUCGAUAAGUCUUAAGACAAAGAUUUUUUUUGACGGCAGGAAAAUAAUAAUAAUAAUAAUAACUAGUGAUCCUAAUUGUUCGCGAACAAUUAGAGGGCUUCCCACCUUCUAGCGGUUUUUCAGUAGUGUUGAAAUGCUAAAAGCCCCCCCCCCCCCCCUACCCCAUCCCACCCUCACCCAAACAAAAAAAAAAAAAAAAAAAAAAAAAAAAAAAUUGAUUUGGCUAGAAAAGAAAUUCAAAUUUGCCGCCUAAAUUUGAGUGUUGAGGUGUGUUCAAUGCUUGGUUUCGCAUUAAGUACCCGUCAAAUUUGAGGGAGAAAAGGGGUGUGGGUGUUGGGUAGCCAGCACAUAUGCACAUAUCAGGUAAAAGUGUAAUGGGACUUGUGCAGGUGUUUGGGGUGACUUUAGACCUGUUAGAUGUGAUAUUUGGAGGUGCAAAGAAACCGGAUGUGCCAUUUUCCUAGAUUGUAGUAACUGCUGGUGCAUGCUGGGAGUCUAUACAAACCUCAUGUUGUCAGAUGUUGUGAAGAUGCACUGGAUUUGACCGUGUGUGUUGUGGAUUGUGGAAUUGAAUAUACAGUUUGUAAUGGCUCAUCCUAUGUGUUCUAAUUCACGGAGACAAUGUCUUUCAGUCAUUUCACCCAAGGAGGCAUGCAUAUACGGAUUGAUAGGCUUUGACAACAAACAACCAAAAUGGCGGCCGGUGAAUUAGAAAGUGUCUGAGUGCAUGUAGGAUAUCUGAACGGAGAAUAGGAGUACUGCAUCCCAUCUGAUCCUGCAGGUAAGUGUUUAUUUGUUUACAAUGACAGUCGGGAUGGAAUGUCAAUGAGUUCAACUGUCAAGUAAAGUUGCAUCAUCAUUAUAAAAAAAAAAACAACUUAGUCUUUAUGUUGAUGCAGGCAGACAAUUGAAUCUGGCCUAUGUCUUUUCAUGAAUGUAAAUGGAAUUCAUGUUUGAUUGACAAGACAGUCAAGAAAUGGAAGAAGUGGGUGUAGGUCAGAUGUGUAGGUGUAGGUCAGAUUAGCUAGAAUCCUGUAAUUGUUGCAUGGCAUGAGACCGGUCAAAAUAGUGUAUUGAAACAGCUGAUCACAAUCAGAUCACUUGAAGGGUGGGGGAUUUCUUCCUUGGGGACGACAGGCGUGAUGGGUGGGUUGGCCUUACUCGUGGAGACUGGCCCCUGGAUGCGUGACCUUGACCUUUGACCUUGACCCACUUUCAAGGUCAAACCUCAAAAACACAUGGGGGAGAAAGUGUGACCUUGACCUUUGACCUUGACCUCAUUUUGAAGGUCAGAGAGGUCACGGGGCUUCGUUUAAGUGGUCCCGCAUCCCUAUCUACAUCCGUGAAGAAGUUGUGGGCUCGAACGACGACGUCGGAGACUUUCGGGGGCGAGAACCGUGCUUCGGGGUUCUCGGUUUCCCUCGGUCAACUUUUCUGUGCGAGAGCGUUUCAUCUGGAAUUCGUCGGCGAAGGUCUCGCCUCUCCACGACUUGCGGUCUAGUGAGAGUAGCGAUAACGGGGUUUUCGACGUUAAGUCGCCGCCAUUCGCAGAGUGGUCAAAGUUCAGAGUUGACAUUCGUGAUGCCGAGACCGGUCCAAAAUUCCUUGCUGACCCAUGUGAUAUUUCGAUGCUAUCUGAAGCGUGAAAGAGCGUAUAAAAAGUGCCAUUUUCUGGCCAUUCUGGAUGACCUUGACCUUUGACCUUGACCUACUUUUUCAAGGUCAAGGUCACCCAACCCGUCCCAGUGGGUUCCGUCUCUCUACGACGAAGACUUUAGGAGUCGUCAAUUUGUAGGGGACAAAUCGCAAAACAUGAGGGGGCAUUAACUCCCUUUAGGGGACACCGAAUCCCUUCAUUUGAAAUUCUUCGCUUCUACUAAUUACCCUCUAUGUUUUAGAAAAGGUUUCAUCCUCCUAUCAUUUACGGUUACAAAGUAGAAGUGCUAACAAUGAUUUCUGCGAAAGGUCAAAUAACUCCGUAAGGGGUCAAAGUUCAAUUACGCAGGGUGAACUGUAUUCGUUUCUCAAGAAGUACUAUAUGAUGGACUAUAAAGUUUUUCGAUAAGUCUUAAGACAAAGAUUUUUUUUGACGGCAGGAAAAUAAUAAUAAUAAUAAUAACUAGUGAUCCUAAUUGUUCGCGAACAAUUAGAGGGCUUCCCACCUUCUAGCGGUUUUUCAGUAGUGUUGAAAUGCUAAAAGCCCCCCCCCCCCCCCUACCCCAUCCCACCCUCACCCAAACAAAAAAAAAAAAAAAAAAAAAAAAAAAAAAAUUGAUUUGGCUAGAAAAGAAAUUCAAAUUUGCCGCCUAAAUUUGAGUGUUGAGGUGUGUUCAAUGCUUGGUUUCGCAUUAAGUACCCGUCAAAUUUGAGGGAGAAAAGGGGUGUGGGUGUUGGGUAGCCAGCACAUAUGCACAUAUCAGGUAAAAGUGUAAUGGGACUUGUGCAGGUGUUUGGGGUGACUUUAGACCUGUUAGAUGUGAUAUUUGGAGGUGCAAAGAAACCGGAUGUGCCAUUUUCCUAGAUUGUAGUAACUGCUGGUGCAUGCUGGGAGUCUAUACAAACCUCAUGUUGUCAGAUGUUGUGAAGAUGCACUGGAUUUGACCGUGUGUGUUGUGGAUUGUGGAAUUGAAUAUACAGUUUGUAAUGGCUCAUCCUAUGUGUUCUAAUUCACGGAGACAAUGUCUUUCAGUCAUUUCACCCAAGGAGGCAUGCAUAUACGGAUUGAUAGGCUUUGACAACAAACAACCAAAAUGGCGGCCGGUGAAUUAGAAAGUGUCUGAGUGCAUGUAGGAUAUCUGAACGGAGAAUAGGAGUACUGCAUCCCAUCUGAUCCUGCAGGUAAGUGUUUAUUUGUUUACAAUGACAGUCGGGAUGGAAUGUCAAUGAGUUCAACUGUCAAGUAAAGUUGCAUCAUCAUUAUAAAAAAAAAAACAACUUAGUCUUUAUGUUGAUGCAGGCAGACAAUUGAAUCUGGCCUAUGUCUUUUCAUGAAUGUAAAUGGAAUUCAUGUUUGAUUGACAAGACAGUCAAGAAAUGGAAGAAGUGGGUGUAGGUCAGAUGUGUAGGUGUAGGUCAGAUUAGCUAGAAUCCUGUAAUUGUUGCAUGGCAUGAGACCGGUCAAAAUAGUGUAUUGAAACAGCUGAUCACAAUCAGAUCACUUGAAGGGUGGGGGAUUUCUUCCUUGGGGACGACAGGCGUGAUGGGUGGGUUGGCCUUACUCGUGGAGACUGGCCCCUGGAUGCGUGACCUUGACCUUUGACCUUGACCCACUUUCAAGGUCAAACCUCAAAAACACAUGGGGGAGAAAGUGUGACCUUGACCUUUGACCUUGACCUCAUUUUGAAGGUCAGAGAGGUCACGGGGCUUCGUUUAAGUGGUCCCGCAUCCCUAUCUACAUCCGUGAAGAAGUUGUGGGCUCGAACGACGACGUCGGAGACUUUCGGGGGCGAGAACCGUGCUUCGGGGUUCUCGGUUUCCCUCGGUCAACUUUUCUGUGCGAGAGCGUUUCAUCUGGAAUUCGUCGGCGAAGGUCUCGCCUCUCCACGACUUGCGGUCUAGUGAGAGUAGCGAUAACGGGGUUUUCGACGUUAAGUCGCCGCCAUUCGCAGAGUGGUCAAAGUUCAGAGUUGACAUUCGUGAUGCCGAGACCGGUCCAAAAUUCCUUGCUGACCCAUGUGAUAUUUCGAUGCUAUCUGAAGCGUGAAAGAGCGUAUAAAAAGUGCCAUUUUCUGGCCAUUCUGGAUGACCUUGACCUUUGACCUUGACCUACUUUUUCAAGGUCAAGGUCACCCAACCCGUCCCAGUGGGUUCCGUCUCUCUACGACGAAGACUUUAGGAGUCGUCAAUUUGUAGGGGACAAAUCGCAAAACAUGAGGGGGCAUUAACUCCCUUUAGGGGACACCGAAUCCCUUCAUUUGAAAUUCUUCGCUUCUACUAAUUACCCUCUAUGUUUUAGAAAAGGUUUCAUCCUCCUAUCAUUUACGGUUACAAAGUAGAAGUGCUAACAAUGAUUUCUGCGAAAGGUCAAAUAACUCCGUAAGGGGUCAAAGUUCAAUUACGCAGGGUGAACUGUAUUCGUUUCUCAAGAAGUACUAUAUGAUGGACUAUAAAGUUUUUCGAUAAGUCUUAAGACAAAGAUUUUUUUUGACGGCAGGAAAAUAAUAAUAAUAAUAAUAACUAGUGAUCCUAAUUGUUCGCGAACAAUUAGAGGGCUUCCCACCUUCUAGCGGUUUUUCAGUAGUGUUGAAAUGCUAAAAGCCCCCCCCCCCCCCCUACCCCAUCCCACCCUCACCCAAACAAAAAAAAAAAAAAAAAAAAAAAAAAAAAAAUUGAUUUGGCUAGAAAAGAAAUUCAAAUUUGCCGCCUAAAUUUGAGUGUUGAGGUGUGUUCAAUGCUUGGUUUCGCAUUAAGUACCCGUCAAAUUUGAGGGAGAAAAGGGGUGUGGGUGUUGGGUAGCCAGCACAUAUGCACAUAUCAGGUAAAAGUGUAAUGGGACUUGUGCAGGUGUUUGGGGUGACUUUAGACCUGUUAGAUGUGAUAUUUGGAGGUGCAAAGAAACCGGAUGUGCCAUUUUCCUAGAUUGUAGUAACUGCUGGUGCAUGCUGGGAGUCUAUACAAACCUCAUGUUGUCAGAUGUUGUGAAGAUGCACUGGAUUUGACCGUGUGUGUUGUGGAUUGUGGAAUUGAAUAUACAGUUUGUAAUGGCUCAUCCUAUGUGUUCUAAUUCACGGAGACAAUGUCUUUCAGUCAUUUCACCCAAGGAGGCAUGCAUAUACGGAUUGAUAGGCUUUGACAACAAACAACCAAAAUGGCGGCCGGUGAAUUAGAAAGUGUCUGAGUGCAUGUAGGAUAUCUGAACGGAGAAUAGGAGUACUGCAUCCCAUCUGAUCCUGCAGGUAAGUGUUUAUUUGUUUACAAUGACAGUCGGGAUGGAAUGUCAAUGAGUUCAACUGUCAAGUAAAGUUGCAUCAUCAUUAUAAAAAAAAAAACAACUUAGUCUUUAUGUUGAUGCAGGCAGACAAUUGAAUCUGGCCUAUGUCUUUUCAUGAAUGUAAAUGGAAUUCAUGUUUGAUUGACAAGACAGUCAAGAAAUGGAAGAAGUGGGUGUAGGUCAGAUGUGUAGGUGUAGGUCAGAUUAGCUAGAAUCCUGUAAUUGUUGCAUGGCAUGAGACCGGUCAAAAUAGUGUAUUGAAACAGCUGAUCACAAUCAGAUCACUUGAAGGGUGGGGGAUUUCUUCCUUGGGGACGACAGGCGUGAUGGGUGGGUUGGCCUUACUCGUGGAGACUGGCCCCUGGAUGCGUGACCUUGACCUUUGACCUUGACCCACUUUCAAGGUCAAACCUCAAAAACACAUGGGGGAGAAAGUGUGACCUUGACCUUUGACCUUGACCUCAUUUUGAAGGUCAGAGAGGUCACGGGGCUUCGUUUAAGUGGUCCCGCAUCCCUAUCUACAUCCGUGAAGAAGUUGUGGGCUCGAACGACGACGUCGGAGACUUUCGGGGGCGAGAACCGUGCUUCGGGGUUCUCGGUUUCCCUCGGUCAACUUUUCUGUGCGAGAGCGUUUCAUCUGGAAUUCGUCGGCGAAGGUCUCGCCUCUCCACGACUUGCGGUCUAGUGAGAGUAGCGAUAACGGGGUUUUCGACGUUAAGUCGCCGCCAUUCGCAGAGUGGUCAAAGUUCAGAGUUGACAUUCGUGAUGCCGAGACCGGUCCAAAAUUCCUUGCUGACCCAUGUGAUAUUUCGAUGCUAUCUGAAGCGUGAAAGAGCGUAUAAAAAGUGCCAUUUUCUGGCCAUUCUGGAUGACCUUGACCUUUGACCUUGACCUACUUUUUCAAGGUCAAGGUCACCCAACCCGUCCCAGUGGGUUCCGUCUCUCUACGACGAAGACUUUAGGAGUCGUCAAUUUGUAGGGGACAAAUCGCAAAACAUGAGGGGGCAUUAACUCCCUUUAGGGGACACCGAAUCCCUUCAUUUGAAAUUCUUCGCUUCUACUAAUUACCCUCUAUGUUUUAGAAAAGGUUUCAUCCUCCUAUCAUUUACGGUUACAAAGUAGAAGUGCUAACAAUGAUUUCUGCGAAAGGUCAAAUAACUCCGUAAGGGGUCAAAGUUCAAUUACGCAGGGUGAACUGUAUUCGUUUCUCAAGAAGUACUAUAUGAUGGACUAUAAAGUUUUUCGAUAAGUCUUAAGACAAAGAUUUUUUUUGACGGCAGGAAAAUAAUAAUAAUAAUAAUAACUAGUGAUCCUAAUUGUUCGCGAACAAUUAGAGGGCUUCCCACCUUCUAGCGGUUUUUCAGUAGUGUUGAAAUGCUAAAAGCCCCCCCCCCCCCCCUACCCCAUCCCACCCUCACCCAAACAAAAAAAAAAAAAAAAAAAAAAAAAAAAAAAUUGAUUUGGCUAGAAAAGAAAUUCAAAUUUGCCGCCUAAAUUUGAGUGUUGAGGUGUGUUCAAUGCUUGGUUUCGCAUUAAGUACCCGUCAAAUUUGAGGGAGAAAAGGGGUGUGGGUGUUGGGUAGCCAGCACAUAUGCACAUAUCAGGUAAAAGUGUAAUGGGACUUGUGCAGGUGUUUGGGGUGACUUUAGACCUGUUAGAUGUGAUAUUUGGAGGUGCAAAGAAACCGGAUGUGCCAUUUUCCUAGAUUGUAGUAACUGCUGGUGCAUGCUGGGAGUCUAUACAAACCUCAUGUUGUCAGAUGUUGUGAAGAUGCACUGGAUUUGACCGUGUGUGUUGUGGAUUGUGGAAUUGAAUAUACAGUUUGUAAUGGCUCAUCCUAUGUGUUCUAAUUCACGGAGACAAUGUCUUUCAGUCAUUUCACCCAAGGAGGCAUGCAUAUACGGAUUGAUAGGCUUUGACAACAAACAACCAAAAUGGCGGCCGGUGAAUUAGAAAGUGUCUGAGUGCAUGUAGGAUAUCUGAACGGAGAAUAGGAGUACUGCAUCCCAUCUGAUCCUGCAGGUAAGUGUUUAUUUGUUUACAAUGACAGUCGGGAUGGAAUGUCAAUGAGUUCAACUGUCAAGUAAAGUUGCAUCAUCAUUAUAAAAAAAAAAACAACUUAGUCUUUAUGUUGAUGCAGGCAGACAAUUGAAUCUGGCCUAUGUCUUUUCAUGAAUGUAAAUGGAAUUCAUGUUUGAUUGACAAGACAGUCAAGAAAUGGAAGAAGUGGGUGUAGGUCAGAUGUGUAGGUGUAGGUCAGAUUAGCUAGAAUCCUGUAAUUGUUGCAUGGCAUGAGACCGGUCAAAAUAGUGUAUUGAAACAGCUGAUCACAAUCAGAUCACUUGAAGGGUGGGGGAUUUCUUCCUUGGGGACGACAGGCGUGAUGGGUGGGUUGGCCUUACUCGUGGAGACUGGCCCCUGGAUGCGUGACCUUGACCUUUGACCUUGACCCACUUUCAAGGUCAAACCUCAAAAACACAUGGGGGAGAAAGUGUGACCUUGACCUUUGACCUUGACCUCAUUUUGAAGGUCAGAGAGGUCACGGGGCUUCGUUUAAGUGGUCCCGCAUCCCUAUCUACAUCCGUGAAGAAGUUGUGGGCUCGAACGACGACGUCGGAGACUUUCGGGGGCGAGAACCGUGCUUCGGGGUUCUCGGUUUCCCUCGGUCAACUUUUCUGUGCGAGAGCGUUUCAUCUGGAAUUCGUCGGCGAAGGUCUCGCCUCUCCACGACUUGCGGUCUAGUGAGAGUAGCGAUAACGGGGUUUUCGACGUUAAGUCGCCGCCAUUCGCAGAGUGGUCAAAGUUCAGAGUUGACAUUCGUGAUGCCGAGACCGGUCCAAAAUUCCUUGCUGACCCAUGUGAUAUUUCGAUGCUAUCUGAAGCGUGAAAGAGCGUAUAAAAAGUGCCAUUUUCUGGCCAUUCUGGAUGACCUUGACCUUUGACCUUGACCUACUUUUUCAAGGUCAAGGUCACCCAACCCGUCCCAGUGGGUUCCGUCUCUCUACGACGAAGACUUUAGGAGUCGUCAAUUUGUAGGGGACAAAUCGCAAAACAUGAGGGGGCAUUAACUCCCUUUAGGGGACACCGAAUCCCUUCAUUUGAAAUUCUUCGCUUCUACUAAUUACCCUCUAUGUUUUAGAAAAGGUUUCAUCCUCCUAUCAUUUACGGUUACAAAGUAGAAGUGCUAACAAUGAUUUCUGCGAAAGGUCAAAUAACUCCGUAAGGGGUCAAAGUUCAAUUACGCAGGGUGAACUGUAUUCGUUUCUCAAGAAGUACUAUAUGAUGGACUAUAAAGUUUUUCGAUAAGUCUUAAGACAAAGAUUUUUUUUGACGGCAGGAAAAUAAUAAUAAUAAUAAUAACUAGUGAUCCUAAUUGUUCGCGAACAAUUAGAGGGCUUCCCACCUUCUAGCGGUUUUUCAGUAGUGUUGAAAUGCUAAAAGCCCCCCCCCCCCCCCUACCCCAUCCCACCCUCACCCAAACAAAAAAAAAAAAAAAAAAAAAAAAAAAAAAAUUGAUUUGGCUAGAAAAGAAAUUCAAAUUUGCCGCCUAAAUUUGAGUGUUGAGGUGUGUUCAAUGCUUGGUUUCGCAUUAAGUACCCGUCAAAUUUGAGGGAGAAAAGGGGUGUGGGUGUUGGGUAGCCAGCACAUAUGCACAUAUCAGGUAAAAGUGUAAUGGGACUUGUGCAGGUGUUUGGGGUGACUUUAGACCUGUUAGAUGUGAUAUUUGGAGGUGCAAAGAAACCGGAUGUGCCAUUUUCCUAGAUUGUAGUAACUGCUGGUGCAUGCUGGGAGUCUAUACAAACCUCAUGUUGUCAGAUGUUGUGAAGAUGCACUGGAUUUGACCGUGUGUGUUGUGGAUUGUGGAAUUGAAUAUACAGUUUGUAAUGGCUCAUCCUAUGUGUUCUAAUUCACGGAGACAAUGUCUUUCAGUCAUUUCACCCAAGGAGGCAUGCAUAUACGGAUUGAUAGGCUUUGACAACAAACAACCAAAAUGGCGGCCGGUGAAUUAGAAAGUGUCUGAGUGCAUGUAGGAUAUCUGAACGGAGAAUAGGAGUACUGCAUCCCAUCUGAUCCUGCAGUCAUAUUUUAGGAUGUGUCCACGAGGUCGGAGAAGACCCUAACUGCCAUAGAGAAAUUGGCAGUGUGGAUAGGUGUCAUGGAGAAACCAACACCGUGUCCUGGGGCAGCGAAACUAUACUCUAUGGUUGUGGAGAUGGCAGGGUGUGUUGCGGUACUGCUAGCUGUACAUAUGGAUGGGUGAUCUACGUGAUUUUAUACAGAAUCACAUUGCUAAUCACCGGCUUCCUUUUGUAACCAUAGAGGAAUAUUUUUCCCAGAAAGGUGCGCACGUUUUAGGGAAGCUUCUAAGACGAAGAAGAAAAGUGAAUGAAGACCCUCGCCCAGUUCCACAACCUCCACCGCCGCCUCCCCAUCCCAGACAGCUCCGCCGCUCAUCUCGACAGAGACUACCCCCAAAUAAGCUGUCGUAUUGACUGUGUUAUUAUAUCGAUUUUCUUGUUUUUGCAUGUAUUAUUGAUAUUACUUUUUUUUUUCCUUUUUAAAAUCAGAAAUGCUGUAAUAUGAAUUCUGUCAUUUCAAAUAGAUUGUGUUAAAAAAAAAUGUUUGCCCUCUCCAGACCGACUAUUUUUUAAAUAUAGUUUUUAGUCGAUCUUAUUAAUAAAAAAUGCUUUCAAAUUAUUUUUUCACACCAAUUUUGAAGUUAAUUUCCCUCUUCCUAUCAACCCAAAGUUUAAACAUUGAGUCAGAUCAGGAGAGGACAAACAAUAUUUUUUUUUUAAAAAGUGGCUCUAAAUUAUCAACCAUUUCCUGUUAUUCUUUUACGAAGAAUAAAAUCUGAAUUUUUGAUUUUUGUCUGUAAUGUU